GACGAACGCUGGCGGCGUGCUUAACACAUGCAAGUCGAACGGAAAGGCCCUGCUUUUGUGGGGUGCUCGAGUGGCGAACGGGUGAGUAACACGUGAGUAACCUGCCCUUGACUUUGGGAUAACUUCAGGAAACUGGGGCUAUUACCGGAUAGGAGCUCCUGCUGCAUGGUGGGGGUUGGAAAGUUUCGGCGGUUGGGGAUGGACUCGCGGCUUAUCAGCUUGUUGGUGGGGUAGUGGCUUACCAAGGCUUUGACGGGUAGCCGGCCUGAGAGGGUGACCGGCCACAUUGGGACCGAGAUACGGCCCAGACUCCUACGGGAGGCAGCAGUGGGGAAUAUUGCACAAUGGGCGGAAGCCUGAUGCAGCAACGCCGCGUGCGGGAUGACGGCCUUCGGGUUGUAAACCGCUUUCGCCUGUGACGAAGCGUGAGUGACGGUAAUGGGUAAAGAAGCACCGGCUAACUACGUG
RNAcentral lists this ribosomal RNA (468 nucleotides) under uncultured bacterium. RNAcentral's name for it is "partial 16S ribosomal RNA". It matches the Rfam family "Bacterial small subunit ribosomal RNA", at positions 28 to 507 of the family's 1533-position model. The record is from RNAcentral.